CUCUUUCUGUAGACUCAAUAACAACGUUAUUGCCCACACACGUGUUGUGAGCUCCCCAGCCAGGGCCAGAAGUGUAAAUUUGGACUGGUGAAGUUCUGGAAAAGGGAAACUAAAGUGAUCACAAGGAUUCUGAGUGCAAAGAGAACUAGGGAAGAUGACCAGCAAACAAUUCAAGAAGGAGCUCAAAGAGUAAAACUCUUCAACCUGGAAAGGCAAAACCAGACAAUGCUAACCAGAUUAAAAUCUUAAAAAUAUAAAAAAGUGAUGACUGAUGUAACUAAAACAAGCACAGAUUAAACUUUCAAAAUCUGAAA
Long non-coding RNA from Manis pentadactyla (Chinese pangolin), 314 nucleotides. RefSeq lists it as uncharacterized. The transcript is spliced from 2 exons. The record is from RefSeq and is a predicted model, not a curated record. Lineage: Eukaryota; Metazoa; Chordata; Mammalia; Pholidota; Manidae.